Molecule: long non-coding RNA, 2026 nt
Organism: Monodelphis domestica (gray short-tailed opossum)
Lineage: Eukaryota; Metazoa; Chordata; Mammalia; Didelphimorphia; Didelphidae
Source: Ensembl
CAGAGAAUCAAAAGGAGACUUGAGACUGAACUACAGAGAUGGUGAAGCCUCCUUGCAGCCUAGAGAGAUGCCUGGAGAGUCCUCGGGCUCUGAUUGGGCAGCUCCUUAGCCAUGGGUGGGAGUAAGAGGAGAACUUCCUGUUUGAAUGGUAGGGUUCCUUGGAACAAGUUCUGGUCCAAUGAUUCCAGCUGUUUGCUGUCUCCCUUUCACCUAGUCAGCCCCCAGCUGUCCCAGGCGUGCAGGCUUUGCUGGUUCCUCAAGUUCCUGCUGACUGCCCAAGAUGAGCCCAGGAGACCAAGUGAUGGUGGUCAACCCCCUGAUACCUGGAUCCCAGGAUUUCCAAUAUCCAAACCUGAUAUGAUCUCCCAGCUGGAGCAAGGGGAAGAACCAUGGGUUCUGAACUCUCGACAGAGGGUAGAAGAGACAGAUAUUUUGAGAGGCAACUGUUCAGAUUGUGUAACCAGGAUUCAGAACAUAGAACUAUCUCUAAAGAAAGAAAUUUCAGAAGAAAUGGAAUCUCAGUGGCUGAGAGAAGAAAAACUCAUAAAGGAUAUUUCCAAAGGACUAUGUCUUGGAGAAACCUGGGAAAGUCAGGCCAUAUUAUGGAAAAAUGAAAGUCUUACCAUGGAGAGAUUGAAGAAAUCACCUUCUAAGGAGAACAGUUUCAGGCCAAUGUUAAUCAAUCACCCAGGAGAAAAUCUCCAUAGCUGAGGAAGGGCAGAAAUAUGACAGAUGUGGAAGAAACUGGAAUCUGAAUUCAAACACUGUUUCAUGCCAAGGAUUUUCUAUAAGAGAGGAACUCCAUAAAUGUGAUGCACGUGAUCAAAACUUCAAACAUAAUUCACAUGUUAAUAAUAUAUCUAAAAAGCCAUGUAAAUAUAAUGAAUCAGGAAACUUCGUUCAUUGGAGUUCAGCCCUUAAAGUACAUCAGAAAAUUCAUUUUGGAGGAAAACCUCAUGAAUGUAAUGAAUGUGGGAAAGCCUUCAAAGGGAAUACAGACCUUGUUAGACAUCAGAGGUAUAACACUGUUGAGAAGCCCUAUGAGUGUAGUGAAUGUGAGAAAGCUUUCAUUCAGAUCUCUAACCUUAUACAGCAUCAGAGAAUUUAUACUGGAGAGAAACCCUACAAAUGUAGUCAAUGUGGGAAAGCUUUCAUUCAGAGUUCUAACCUGAUUCAACAUUGCAGAAAAUGCCAUGGAGAAAAACCCUAUGAAUGUACUUGUGAAUUUUAAAAUCUCCAUCUUGGUCUAGCACCCAAAAUUGUGCACACCCACACUACAUGGGCAUGUGCUAGUCAAUGACAAAUCAGAAAUAACUAACUGGCCACCUGGGCUGUCCUAAGCCAAGCUUGAGCCAUCAUUGGCACUUGUGAGGCACAGGAAGUGACGGAGAGAGCAGCCUCGGGAAUUCGCUCACUUCCUGUGGACAGGGCAAGACGGCGGUUCAUGUUAGAAGCUUGAACAGGGAGGAGGCCCACAGACAGCUUCCCUUCAGAUCGGUCACAUGAGUCAAGGACUGAUUCCUUCCACCUUGGCCCUUUGGGCCUAAACUCCCUCUGCCUUGGUAAGAGGUUGAGUAACCCCUUUCCCUUUUCUCCUCUCUCCUUCUCUCCCUCACCUUUUCCCUACUCCCAUUGUGAUUAAACCUCCAUAAACUCCAUUCUGACUUGAGUGUUUCAUUUUAGGAAUUUCAUAAGUAAAUUCCUUGGUGGCCAUAGUUCAAUAUUAUAACAAUCUUAAAAGGUGAAAUUUUCACUACAACAUAUUGAAUGUGGGAAAGCCUUCAGUGAAUGCUCAAUUCUUAUUGAACAUCAUAGAAUUCAUACUGGAGAAAAACCCUAUGUAUGCAAUGAAUGUGGGAGAGCCUUUGUCCAGAGCUCAAACCUUAGUCAACAUCAGAGAAUUCAUACUGGAGAAAAACCCUAUGUAUGUAGCCAAUGUGGAAAAGCCUUCAGGCAAAGCACUAAUCUUAUUCAACAUCAGAGAACACAUAAUAAAGAGAAACCCUAUGAAUGUAGUGAAUGUGGG